Physcomitrium patens is the source of this 570-nucleotide non-coding RNA. Lineage: Eukaryota; Viridiplantae; Streptophyta; Bryopsida; Funariales; Funariaceae. The record is from RefSeq and is a predicted model, not a curated record.
CGAAGCGCACCGCACCAGACGAUCCUUCCUCUUCGUCUUCGGAAACCCUCCCGAGCGCGGACAGACCAGACUAGACCAAGUCCACGCGAAAACCUCGCGGAAGGUUUGGUCUGGAGGCGCCUGGAUUUGGAUGAGCAGCGAUCUCAGCACAAAGAGGGCUGUUGAGAAGUCACGCCCCAUGUCGGAGAGAGACGCGGUGCCCACGAUCCCAUCCAGCGAGCCCUCACCUCCCAGCGAUCACGAGAAAGGGCAGCAUUGCAGCAUUGCAGCAUUGCAAAAGUGUUACAACGUGUUUUGAAGUUAUAUUGAUGGUUUUUCUUUUUCUUUUCCUAGCAUUAUUGUACCUAUUUUUAGAUUAUGUACUUGAUUAAACUUGGUUUCAUUUAACUAGUAUUUUGUUACUAUUGUACAAAGAUUUUUUCUUCUUUCAUAAAAUAUAUUAUUUUAUAUCUUUUUAUAGUACUCUAUGGCACUAACUAUUGAUGUUGAUUUGUUCAACCUCUUUCCAAAGAAUAAUCAAUAUUAAAUAUGUUUAACAAAAAAAAUCAUUAAAGAUGAUAUAUUAAUUUA